AGAGCAGCUCUGAGGAAGUCUCGGCCGGGCUGACGGGAGCCCCAGAGUGAGGGCUGCCCUUCCAGGAGUCCUGCGUCUGUGGUUCAGAGCAGAAUUCCAACAUGGAUUUAUAUGCAGACAUUUGUCUUCUCAGUAGCUUCAUGAGCAAUGAAAAAUGAAUACGACUCUUUCUCCUUCUGUUUCAAAUCCCCUACUCCAUCUAAAUCCACUGAAGGCAGCCAUGCAUCAUCACUACCCAGAGUUGCUGGCUGUGGUUGUGCAGGUUUCUCGUUGCUCAGGCGUGAGAGCGUGUGAACAACUGUUUCUGUAGGAUCUGUUUCCAGAAAUGGGAGUGCUGGAUUAAAGGGUGUGCACAUUUGAAAUGUUGACAGGUGUUGCCAAGAGCCUUCUCAAGAGGUGAUGUCUGUUUACUCAUCCACCUGCAGGGUGACAGUUCCAGAGAGGAAACAGAAGAACACAAAGUCUCUUGAGGUAUACACUUGGAAUUGGCACGCCAUCACUCCUGCUACCUUCUAUUGGCCAAAACAAGUCACACGGCCAGCCUAGAUUUAAGGGCAGGGGAAGCAGACCCCGCCUCUUGAUGAGAGGAGCUGCAAAGUCAUGUUGCAAAGGCAUGGACACCAGGAGGGCGUUAACUGAGACCACGAAUGCAAUUAAUCCACCACUCCGGGAGAUGAUCAAAUCUGGCUGUUAAAAAAACCUUGGCAUUAAGAUGCCGUUCUGAUUAUUUCUGAGCUACCAGCCACGAAUCAUUUAUUUUCAUGAUUAGUAGAUUAACAAGGUAGUGGGUGGUUGUGUCUGACUUUGAAAAGUGGACAUGGAAGCAACUGGCAGAGUCCCAUUCCUACUCUGACUCUUUAUGUUAGUUAGGAUGCAGAUUUGGAUGCUAUAAAAAAGAAACCUACAAUGAAUCAAUGUUUCUUUCUUUCUCAAUAAAAGUCUGGGAAUA
RNAcentral lists this long non-coding RNA (949 nucleotides) under Equus caballus (horse). RNAcentral's name for it is "lncRNA (ENSECAG00000031406.3)". Lineage: Eukaryota; Metazoa; Chordata; Mammalia; Perissodactyla; Equidae. The record is from RNAcentral.